UACGUAGGGUCCAAGCGUUGUCCGGAAUUACUGGGUAUAAAGGGUGCGCAGGCGGGCUCGUGCGUCGAAGGUUAAAAGGCCUGGCUCAACCUGGAAAUGCCCUCGAUACGGCGAGUCUUGAGUAUGAGAGAGGAAGAUGGAAUUCCUGGUGUAGCAGUGAAAUGCGUAGAUAUCAGGAGGAACACCGGUGGCGAAGGCGGUCUUCUGGCUCAUUACUGACGCUCAGGCACGAAAGCGUGGGGAGCGAACAGGAUUAGAUACCGGGUACGCC
RNAcentral lists this ribosomal RNA (271 nucleotides) under uncultured bacterium. RNAcentral's name for it is "partial 16S ribosomal RNA". It matches the Rfam family "Bacterial small subunit ribosomal RNA", at positions 524 to 795 of the family's 1533-position model. The record is from RNAcentral.